AUUGAACGCUGGCGGCAGGCCUAACACAUGCAAGUCGAGCGGAUGAAGGGAGCUUGCUCCUGGAUUCAGCGGCGGACGGGUGAGUAAUGCCUAGGAAUCUGCCUGGUAGUGGGGGAUAACGUCCGGAAACGGGCGCUAAUACCGCAUACGUCCUGAGGGAGAAAGUGGGGGAUCUUCGGACCUCACGCUAUCAGAUGAGCCUAGGUCGGAUUAGCUAGUUGGUGGGGUAAAGGCCUACCAAGGCGACGAUCCGUAACUGGUCUGAGAGGAUGAUCAGUCAACAUGGAACUUGGAAAAGGGCCCGACUCCUUAGGGAGGGAGGAGUGGGGAAUUAUUGACAAUGGGGGGAAGCCUGAUCCAGCCAUGCCGGGUGUGUUGAGAAGGUCUUCGGAUUGUAAAGCACUUUAAGUUGGGAGGAAGGGCAGUAAGUUAAUACCUUGCUGUUUUGACGUUACCAACAGAAUAAGCACCGGCUAACUUCGUG
This 484-nucleotide ribosomal RNA is filed under the name uncultured bacterium. Its description in RNAcentral is "partial 16S ribosomal RNA". It matches the Rfam family "Bacterial small subunit ribosomal RNA", at positions 30 to 507 of the family's 1533-position model. The record is from RNAcentral.